CCGAACUCAGAAGUGAAACGCCGUAGCGCCGAUGGUAGUGUGGGGUCUCCCCAUGUGAGAGUAGGGAACUGCCAGGC
RNAcentral lists this ribosomal RNA (77 nucleotides) under Klebsiella aerogenes. The record is from RNAcentral. RNAcentral also lists the same sequence under 20 other names. Lineage: Bacteria; Pseudomonadati; Pseudomonadota; Gammaproteobacteria; Enterobacterales; Enterobacteriaceae.